AGUAACAGGAACUUUGAAGGGCUAUGACCAGCUUCUGAACUUGGUGCUUGAUGAAGCAAUUGAGUUUGAGAGAGAGCAAGAUGACCCGCUGAAACUGUCGGCGAAAACCAGGCAGCUUGGUCUCAUUGUCUGCAGAGGUACAGCGGUGAUGCUCGUGUCACCAACCGAGGGAACGGAGGAGAUCAAAAACCCCUUCCAAGAGGCUGAUGGUGCACAAGCCUGACCUGCCUGUGUUCGCGCCUUGGUCGAUAUCUGCACACCCCUAAACAU
Lolium rigidum is the source of this 270-nucleotide long non-coding RNA. RefSeq lists it as uncharacterized. Lineage: Eukaryota; Viridiplantae; Streptophyta; Magnoliopsida; Poales; Poaceae. The transcript is spliced from 3 exons. The record is from RefSeq and is a predicted model, not a curated record.